RNAcentral lists this ribosomal RNA (514 nucleotides) under uncultured bacterium. RNAcentral's name for it is "bacterial SSU rRNA". It matches the Rfam family "Bacterial small subunit ribosomal RNA", at positions 26 to 518 of the family's 1533-position model. The record is from RNAcentral.
AGGACGAACGCUGGCGGCGUGCCUAACACAUGCAAGUCGAACGGGGAUUUGUUUCGGCAGAAUCCUAGUGGCGAACGGGUGAGUAACGCGUAGGCAACCUGCCCUCCGGCCGGGGACAACACUCCGAAAGGGGUGCUAAUACCGGAUACGAAGUCUGUGCCGCAUGGUACGGAUUUGAAAGAUGGCCUCUAUUUAUAAGCUAUCGCCGGGGGAUGGGCCUGCGUCCGAUUAGCUGGUUGGUGGGGUAACGGCCUACCAAGGCGACGAUCGGUAGCCGGUCUGAGAGGAUGAACGGCCACAUUGGGACUGAGACACGGCCCAGACUCCUACGGGAGGCAGCAGUGGGGAAUCUUCCGCAAUGGGCGCAAGCCUGACGGAGCAACGCCGCGUGAGUGAGGAAGUUCUUCGGAACGUAAAGCUCUGUUGUUCCUGACGAACCUCCCUUCUAUCAACAACGGAAGGGACUGACGGUAGGGAACGAGGAAGCCACGGCUAACUACGUGCCAGCAGCGGC